RNAcentral lists this ribosomal RNA (440 nucleotides) under uncultured bacterium. RNAcentral describes it as "partial 16S ribosomal RNA". It matches the Rfam family "Bacterial small subunit ribosomal RNA", at positions 338 to 795 of the family's 1533-position model. The record is from RNAcentral.
CCUACGGGUGGCAGCAGUGGGGAAUAUUGCACAAUGGGCGGAAGCCUGACGCAGCGACGCCGCGUGAGUGAUGAAGUACUUCGGUAUGUAAAGCUCUAUCAGCAGGGAAGAAAAUGACGGUACCUGACUAAGAAGCUCUGGCCAAUUACGUGCCAGCAGCCGCGGUAAUACUUAGGGGGCAAGCGUUAUCCGGAUUUAAUGGGUGUAAAGGGAGCGUAGACGGUUAUGCAAGUCUGAAGUGAAAGCCCAAGGCUCAACCGUGGGACUGCAUUGGAAACUGGAAAACUGGAGUUCAGGAGAGGUAAGCGGAAUUCCUGGUGUAGCGGUGAAAUGCGUAGAUAUUAGGAGGAACACCAGUGGCGAAGGCGGCUUCCUGGACAUUAACUGACGCUGAGGCGCGAAAGCGAGGGGAGCAAACAGGAUUAGAUACCCGAGUAGUC